CAUCAUGCCCCGUUAUGACCUGGGCACACACGUGCUACAAUGGGCGGUACAAAGGGUCGCGAACCCGCGAGGGGGAGGCCAAUCCCCAAAAAAGCCGCUCUCAGUUCGGAUUGCAGGCUGCAACUCGCCUGCAUGAAGCCGGAAUCGCUAGUAAUCGCGGAUCAGCAUGCCGCGGUGAAUACGUUCCCGGGCCUU
RNAcentral lists this ribosomal RNA (195 nucleotides) under uncultured Anoxybacillus sp. RNAcentral describes it as "partial 16S ribosomal RNA". It matches the Rfam family "Bacterial small subunit ribosomal RNA", at positions 1191 to 1382 of the family's 1533-position model. The record is from RNAcentral. Lineage: Bacteria; Bacillati; Bacillota; Bacilli; Caryophanales; Anoxybacillaceae.